GAUUAACGCUAGCGGCAGGCAUAAUACAUGCAAGUUGAACGGCAGCACAGGUAGCAAUACUGGGUGGCGAGUGGCGCACGGGUGCGUAACACGUAUGCAACCUACCCUAUACAGGCGAAUAACCUUUAGAAAUGAGGGCUAAUACGCCGUAGUAUUACAGAUGGGCAUCUAUUUGUAAUUAAAGAUUUAUCGGUAUAGGAUGGGCAUGCGUCCCAUUAGUUAGUUGGUAAGGUAACGGCUUACCAAGACGAUGAUGGGUAGGGGAUCUGAGAGGACUUACCCCCACACUGGUACUGAGACACGGACCAGACUCCUACGGGAGGCAGCAGUAAGGAAUGUUGGGCAAUGGCCGCGAGGCUGACCCAGCCAUGCCGCGUGCAGGAAGACGGCCUUAUGGGUUGUAAACUGCUUUUAUACGGGAAUAAUAGAGUGUACGCGUACAUUUAUGCAAGUAUCGUAUGAAUAAGCAUCGGCUAACUCCGUG
This 484-nucleotide ribosomal RNA is filed under the name uncultured bacterium. Its description in RNAcentral is "partial 16S ribosomal RNA". It matches the Rfam family "Bacterial small subunit ribosomal RNA", at positions 28 to 507 of the family's 1533-position model. The record is from RNAcentral.